UACAGAGGGUGCGAGCGUUAAUCGGAAUUACUGGGCGUAAAGCGUGCGUAGACGGCUAUCUAAGUCGGGUGUGAAAGCCCCGGGCUCAACCUGGGAAUUGCAUUCGAGACUGAAUAGCUAGAGUGCGGUAGAGGGAAGCGGAAUUUCCGGUGUAGCGGUGAAAUGCGUAGAUAUCGGAAGGAACAUCAGUGGCGAAAGCGGCUUCCUGGACCAGCACCGACGUUCAGGCACGAAAGCGUGGGGAGCAAACAGG
RNAcentral lists this ribosomal RNA (253 nucleotides) under uncultured bacterium. Its description in RNAcentral is "partial 16S ribosomal RNA". It matches the Rfam family "Bacterial small subunit ribosomal RNA", at positions 524 to 776 of the family's 1533-position model. The record is from RNAcentral.